CGCAGCGAAAUGCGAUACCUAGUGUGAAUUGCAGAAUUCCGCGAAUCAUCGAGUUUUUGAACGCAAGUUGCGCCCGAGGCUCGUCCCGAGGGCAUGCCUGCCUGAGCGUCCG
RNAcentral lists this ribosomal RNA (112 nucleotides) under Bryopteris filicina. Its description in RNAcentral is "partial 5.8S ribosomal RNA". It matches the Rfam family "5.8S ribosomal RNA", at positions 44 to 154 of the family's 154-position model. From Rfam's summary of the family: 5.8S ribosomal RNA (5.8S rRNA) is a component of the large subunit of the eukaryotic ribosome. It is transcribed by RNA polymerase I as part of the 45S precursor that also contains 18S and 28S rRNA. Functionally, it is thought that 5.8S rRNA may be involved in ribosome translocation. Lineage: Eukaryota; Viridiplantae; Streptophyta; Jungermanniopsida; Porellales; Lejeuneaceae. The record is from RNAcentral.